RNAcentral lists this unclassified non-coding RNA (226 nucleotides) under Hevea brasiliensis (rubber tree). Lineage: Eukaryota; Viridiplantae; Streptophyta; Magnoliopsida; Malpighiales; Euphorbiaceae. The record is from RNAcentral.
GAAGCUUUUAGAUAAAGAAGUUCGUAAUAGAACUUAGAGUGGUUCCAUCCAUUAUAUCACCAGUUCCAUUAUAUUGAACUAUAUUGUGAAAACAAUGAUGCUGUAAUUCAAGCUAAGGAACUCCGGUCUCACUAAAAAUCCAAACAAAUAGAAACGCACUAACAUAUUAUCAGAGAAAUAGAUGGGCGCGGCGAUGUAACCAUGCAGAAAAUAGCAUCAGUUAAAA